AUUUAUAUAGUUUAAAUAAAACAUUACAUUUUCACUGUAAAAAUAAAAAAAUACUUUUUAUAAAUA
This 66-nucleotide transfer RNA is filed under the name Hebardina concinna. RNAcentral describes it as "tRNA-Glu". The record is from RNAcentral. Lineage: Eukaryota; Metazoa; Arthropoda; Insecta; Blattodea; Blattidae.